GCCACUUUAUGGAUGCUCCCUUAACAGGCUCGCGCUCGAAGGUCUUGUGAAUUAUUUUCCAUCUGAGAGCUGAGCCUUAUCUUUAACCCUCAUAAAAAGUCCUCAGAGUAACUGUUGUUUACGUGUACUCACCACGAUAGAGAUUGCGAGUGGGAAAUUUGGUUGAUUUCGGGUUGCGUUUGUUUUUCUUGUUAAUCUGCGGCGCAAACAUUUCCGAUCCACAUGCGGCUUUCUGUCUCUUUAUCGAGGAAAGCUGCAGGUGAAUUUGUUUGAAUCCCCUCCAACGUCUGGGAUUGACGUUUAAUCAUUCAUGCCCGUCUGUGAGGGAUGGAGGCAGGAGAAAGUGACAGCUCCUCGGGUGCUGUUCAAACAUUGAGGGACAGUUGGCGCUCUGAGGAGGAGGAGGGAUUGGCGUUUGCAGUCCGGUGAACGUAAGAGACUGAGAGCGUGAGAUCACCUGAGGAAGUGACUGACAAUCGAGAGGCCCGGAAAACCAUCAGAAGACCCAACAGAUGAGUGGAAAACACAAGCUUUGUCUGAAUCCACCCAAAUCCAAUAGAUUAUACCAGAUCUCGAAAAUCCCCUGAUCCCCUGAUGGAGGAUAUUAAAAAUAUACAAAUUUGUAUCUUUAUAUGAGUGACAUAUCAGGUUAUUCAACACACUGUGGCUGACUAGCAUGUAUCAUUUGACCAAUUAAUGACCCAUUAACCUAGUAUAACUUGAUUGUGAGCAGCACAACUGAUCUAUUAAUGCUUCCUUGCUUAAUCAAGCCUGGCAUGCUGGGGUAUUCGAGGAGAGGUGUGUGUGUAUAUGGGGGGAAUCUUAUUUAAAUUCAAUCAGAGAAAUGCGGACUCUCAGCAGGACAUGCUGCAUCUCCAUGGAGACAGAGCAGGCCUGCGGUCUCUGGCACACCACUGCUGCAGUUGACUGUUAGCUCCAGUGUUGUCGUUGCUUUCCAGACCGGGGCGGGAUCAGUGGCGGCACGUGGCGGCCCAGCUUCCUUUGACUGUCUUCCUGAGCUCGGGAUCUGAAGGCCAAUGUGGUUCCCGCUCUGGCGGAACGCGGACCCGCUCACCGCCGAGGCCCACAGGGACUGCGGCUCACAUUCCGGCCAGCGUCCUUCUCAGAUACCAGCUGGU
Paramormyrops kingsleyae is the source of this 1139-nucleotide non-coding RNA. The record is from RefSeq and is a predicted model, not a curated record. NCBI's taxonomy places the organism in Eukaryota, Metazoa, Chordata, Actinopteri, Osteoglossiformes, Mormyridae.